UGAGGAAAAAGAAGGAGGGGGAUAGGCUCUGCAGGAAAACACCUAAAAAAAAGUACAAGCAGAGGCUUGCUUGAUCUUAGGGUCAACCUGACCUCUCUCUCUCUCUCUGUGUGAUGAGUUUGAACUUUGAAGGCUUGAAAUUUCCUUCAAGAUUUAACUAUCAUUCAAACAUCGCUCUCUCUUUUUGCUCCUUGACUUUGAUCUUACAAUAUCUCCUUUUCCAUUUUAGUUUUUACUGUGAAGCGUCUUACCGAAACUCUCUCUCUCUCUCUCUCUCUAUAUAUAUAUAUAUAUUCAUGUAUUUAUAUGUAUAUGCUUUGCUAACUUAUACGACUGUCCCCUCUCACUUUUGUUCGCCGUCUGUCUCGUGCUCUGUUUUCCUCUCUUCCUCUCUCGCUCAUAGGAGCGGAGCCGAAGACAUUCGCAGUUUCUGAUUCAUCCCUCUCAGGGCUCAAAUUUUCGCUCCAUGUCAAAAAAUAGCAAAAGGGUGUGUUUCAGUCCUGAUGUCAACGAGAAAUCAACCGUCUUUCUCAAGCACGAUGGCGACGGUGGCAGGUUGUCGCCGGUGAGCUUUUUGCUGCGGCUAGGAGAGACGAUGAUGGCGGGAGCUAUGAAGGUUGUUUCUAUAAGAAGAAGAUCUUCAAGAAAGGUGUCUUCUUCCACCAUGGUUAGGUCACGUUCCUUAUCUGCAGGCUCUUCUGAUUCUCAUCGAGCUGAAGCUGUUGAAGAUUGUAUCGAGUUCUUGCAUUCUUCUUCUUCUAGAGAGAGACCCAGUUGAGAAUCUAUUAUAUGUUAUCCCAGAAACAUGAUAUGGCGUGAAAAAAAAAAUAAUAUUGUGUUUCGAUGUAAUCUGAGGAUUGUCUUGUUUUUGUUUCUGAAGAAUUAGUCCUGCGUUGGUCGUUCUGUAGAAUUUGAAGAGAUGCUCGUCUGAUUUUUGAUGAAUUUGUUCAUGAAAUGAGUAAGAAACUAGUUAGAUAGAAUUGCAAAUUGCAAUCUCUUAUUGAUUAGAGUUCUCUGAGAGUCAAUCUAAUUCGCCACCAUAUUUUUGGUA
Molecule: long non-coding RNA, 1051 nt
Organism: Neltuma alba
Lineage: Eukaryota; Viridiplantae; Streptophyta; Magnoliopsida; Fabales; Fabaceae
Exons: 2
Source: RefSeq, a predicted model, not a curated record